AUUGAACGCUGGCGGCAGGCCUAACACAUGCAAGUCGAACGGUAACAGGAAGCAGCUUGCUGCUUUGCUGACGAGUGGCGGACGGGUGAGUAAUGUCUGGGAAACUGCCUGAUGGAGGGGGAUAACUACUGGAAACGGUAGCUAAUACCGCAUAACGUCGCAAGACCAAAGAGGGGGACCUUCGGGCCUCUUGCCAUCGGAUGUGCCCAGAUGGGAUUAGCUAGUAGGUGGGGUAACGGCUCACCUAGGCGACGAUCCCUAGCUGGUCUGAGGGGAUGACCAGCCACACUGGAACUGAGACACGGUCCAGACUCCUACGGGAGGCAGCAGUGGGGAAUAUUGCACAAUGGGCGCAAGCCUGAUGCAGCCAUGCCGCGUGUAUGAAGAAGGCCUUCGGGUUGUAAAGUACUUUCAGCGGGGAGGAAGGGAGUAAAGUUAAUACCUUUGCUCAUUGACGUUACCCGCAGAAGAAGCACCGGCUAACUCCGUG
Molecule: ribosomal RNA, 490 nt
Filed under: uncultured bacterium
Lineage: Bacteria
Description: partial 16S ribosomal RNA
Rfam family: Bacterial small subunit ribosomal RNA
Source: RNAcentral